This 264-nucleotide ribosomal RNA is filed under the name uncultured archaeon. Its description in RNAcentral is "partial 16S ribosomal RNA". It matches the Rfam family "Archaeal small subunit ribosomal RNA", at positions 717 to 982 of the family's 1478-position model. The record is from RNAcentral.
ACACGACUACAUUAGAUACCCGGGUAGUCCAGGGUGUAAACGCUGCGGGCUUGGUGUUGGGGGUCCUUUGAGGGCGCCCAGUGCCGGAGAGAAGUUGUUAAGCCUGCUGCUUGGGGAGUACGUCCGCAAGGAUGAAACUUAAAGGAAUUGGCGGGGAGCACCGCAACGGGAGGAGCGUGCGGUUCAAUUGGAUUCAACGCCGGACAACUCACCAGGAGCGACAGUUACAUGAAGGCCAGGCUGAUGACCUUGCCUGAUUUUCCG